This is a small nuclear RNA of Vombatus ursinus (common wombat), 124 nucleotides long. The record is from Ensembl. NCBI's taxonomy places the organism in Eukaryota, Metazoa, Chordata, Mammalia, Diprotodontia, Vombatidae.
GUGUUGUAUGAAAAGAGAGGUUAGCACUCCCCUUGAUAAGGAUGGAAGAGGUCCUAGUGGCCUUUACCACAAAAUACAGUUAAGGCAUCUAAUCAUUUUUUUAUAAAUUUAUUUAUUUUUUGUU